Molecule: long non-coding RNA, 594 nt
Organism: Mytilus trossulus (common blue mussel)
Lineage: Eukaryota; Metazoa; Mollusca; Bivalvia; Mytilida; Mytilidae
Exons: 2
Source: RefSeq, a predicted model, not a curated record
GUAAUCGUUGCGGAUGACCAUACAUGGAGAGGACAGUGGCCAUUGGGCCGAGUAAUUGAGGUCAUUAGGAGCCGCGAUAGUCUUAUACGUAGUUGUGUGAUCAAAACAAAAGAGUCAAAAAUUUUAAGACCAGUAACAAAACUAUGCAUACUUGAUUGUUCUCAAUAGAAUUUACAAUAAUUAAUUGAUAUUUUAUUAGUUUUUUGUGUGAUGACAAUUUUUAAGAAAUGUCAUGGUGGGGAGUGUUAGAUUUGAAAUGUAAUUCCAAAUUGUUGGGUUACUUCAUUAAUUAUUACUGAAGUUAUUUAUUUUAUUUGUAAUACUUGUAGAUACGAUUUUGGGUAUAUGCGCAUACAUGUAACGUUGCGCUCUUAUGAAUUGCUAUAUUUCCCGUUUUUAAAGUUUUAUGACGUUUAGCCUUUUACGUACGUUACGUUGUCUAUAGUUUUUAUUCAUUACAAAUUAUUUGAUUACGGAGACACAUCGUUAUUUAUAGAGAGAUCAUAAUCGAGAAUCGGUUGAUAUAAUAUAUGAGUAUAAGAAGCCAAAAUUAAGUGUAAUUUUGAGGAAUAAAAGAUACAUAUUUAUACCGCA